RNAcentral lists this long non-coding RNA (2712 nucleotides) under Heterocephalus glaber (naked mole-rat). RNAcentral's name for it is "lncRNA (ENSHGLG00000040932.1)". Lineage: Eukaryota; Metazoa; Chordata; Mammalia; Rodentia; Bathyergidae. The record is from RNAcentral.
UGAUGUUAUUCUCUGAUAUUUUUGUCACCAAUCUAAAAAUAUUAAAGAUCCUGAAUAGCUGUUGCAGGUAUUUAUGUUUUUUCUUUAAUGUAAUACUUCUAAAUAUAAAGCAAUUCAUUUUUUUAAAUUUUUUUUUUUUUGGUACCGGGGAUUGAACUCAGGUCUUUGCGCUUGCGCCACAGGCAGCAAAACCACUAAACUAAAUCCCGGGCCCAAGUAAUUCAUUUUAACUUCCCUCUUUUCCAGAUUGUGUUGGAAGACACACCUUCUAAACUCUUCUCAAGUCAUAAUAAAAUGAACUAGUUAAUAAAUCUGUGUACAGAUUUUCAAAACUCUUAUUGAUCCAUUGUGCUUUCAUGUUAAAGAAAGAAUUGAAACAUCAACUAUAAAACAAGAUAACUUCAGCUCCAGGGCUGAGGAGGCCAGCCAGCUGCUGGGUAGUUUUGACAUCAAAAGAAUUUCAAAACCUUCUCUCUGUGGAAGAGGAGUUAUAUGCCUACACAGGGACAUUGACAUGAAGGUACUAACCAGCGUGGAAUUCAUGGAACUCUGUAGGUCCUGUGGGUCUAAAACAUAACUUAAGUUAUUUUCACAGAAGUGCUGUCACAAGCCCCAGAGUGUGGCUCUACAUUGACCCAGUGGUCCGAGUGGAGGUAUUUUUUUGUCCUUGCAGAGAUGUACAAGAAAGAUGAGAAAGUAUGUAGAUCUCACAGCUACAUCCUGAUACAUAUAUUUUUAAUACUGUGGAUGUGAAUAAAUUCUUCUGAGGCUAUCAGUGACCAAUAUUUUAGCACUGGCAACUGAGCUCUGCAGUUAAAUCACAUAAAGUUAUACUCAAUCAGUACAGAUCAAAAUAUUUGGUUAAUUAUCUACCUAAGUUCACUUUAAACCCUUUCAGAUAAAAACCAAUUCAUUCUUUUGAGAAAGCACAGGAAUGUGAAAAGAUGGUUAUCAAGGGCUUUCCUGUUACAGGCUGCUUGCCUGUUGCAGAGGGGUGGGAUGAGAAGAACAGAUGUGGACCCAGAGUGGCUCACUGCUGCUUCCUGUGACUCCAUUUUCCAUGACUCUUCAGCCUUUUCAAGGGCCAUGAGGUUAAGCCGACUGUAGCUUUGACCUUCUUUGUCAGGUUGUCAGAACAAGAACCUUCAUUAUAAAGAAUUGCACUUAUGGGAUAGAGGGCCAAAAAUCCUGGCUUCCCAACCACAGAGAUCACUUGAAUGGCAUCCAUUUCUCAACUGCACUGAAGUCAUAGCCAGUUAUUGAAAUCAAACUUCAUGAAGACCAUGACCUUUCACUCUUGUCAGAGAGAAACAUGUAUUUGGAAUGUGGAUGUGACUCACAGUAGCUGUGCCUGGAGAAAGCAAAAAUUCAUAUGUGCAUUCACUCACUUCACAGACCUACAGCAAGGUGUGUACAGGAGCUCCAAAGUAGCUAUAGAAGUAGCCUGAUUCAGUACAAUUGCAUAUGAAAAACCAGAUUUGGAAGUUUUGGAGGAGGUCAAAAGUAUGGAUGAUGAAUAUGAUGAUGACUUUGAUGUUGGUCAUAUGAACCAAAGUUUCUAUGACAAUGAAAUGGAGGAAAAUCAACCAAUACAGACACAGGGAAUGCAGAUAUCCUUGAUUCAGAUGAUGAAGAGAGCAGCAAUAACACAAAUUGACCAGCAUAGAAAUUGAAUGCAGGAACAAAACAGACAUUCCAAAUGAAAUGUUGCAAUUUCAAAACAGAGAAUCAAUCAUUGGAUUUCAGAAAGACAUAACACUGGCCUUGUAUAUGGCAAAGAAAACAAACUGGUUCUGCUCAUGUCAAUAUUGCACCAUGAUGGAAAUAUUUAUAGGAAAACCUUGACAAAAUGAAAGCCUGAGAUGUGAACUUUCUACAACAAAACCAAAAGUGGAGUAGAUGUUGUUGAUGACUUAUUUGGCAACUAUAAUGUCACUUGAAACACAAAGCAUUGGCCAAUGGUGGUGUUUUACUUGAUCUUAAAUGUGUGUGGCAUAAAUAACUUGAUACUUUAUAAAGAAAAUAACAAGUGCAAAAUACCACAGAGAAAUUUUCUUAGAGGAUUGGGACUGGAAUUCAGAAGAGAUCAUUUACAGCAGAGGAAAAACAAAAUAUUUCUGCCCAAGGAGACUAUGCAAAAAAAUUUGUGGAGCACAUUCGUUAGCUGACAGGUAAAUGGGCAGGUGCAGCAUCACAAAGACCUACUAUGACAAUAUGAAAACCAAAAGGAUAUCAACUGUGCCCUACAAAAACGGACAGGAAAACAAAACAUACAUGCUACCUGUAAGCGAUACUUGUGUAUAGCACACAGAGUUUUCAUGUGUGAAGAUUGCCUUGGGUGUAACAUUUGAAGCAAAGAUUAUUUCUGUGGUAGACUUUUAUUUGUAUUUACAUUGUAUUUCACAUAGGUUUUUAUUUUUAGUGUUAUCUUUUAAGUUUUGUAAGCAAGUAAACAGCUAAUGUGAAAUGUUGAUGUCUAGUCUAAACACUCAUGAUAUAUUUGAUGUUUUAUUUUAUUUUCUUGCUAAGUGCAUGUUGUACAAUAUAGUAAGAAGCUCCUAACAAAAGAGGAAGACAAGAGCAGCGACAAGAAUGACCUACCAGACAGGAAAGGAAAGAAUUCAUUUUCAGGCCCAAAUAAUCAUUACAUGCUAGCUUUCAGGAUUCGGUGUUCAUAUCUGCUCUACUAUAUGUUUUUAGAAAACGACUCUG